GAUCUGGCUGACAAAGCAAAACCUGAAAACAUCGCUAAAAGGGAUGAUUACAGCCUUAUGGUUCCACUGGGGCUCGAACCCAGGACCUUCUGCGCGUAAAGCAGAUGUGCUAACCGCUACACUAUGGAACCGCGCGCUGCAAGGGCUCUCCAGGGUGAAAUAAGUGCACAUAAAGACCUUUCUCUUUCCAGUGUGGGAGGAGACUGAGAGUUGAUGCCCAGCGACCGCUUACGGAGAGGAACUAUCAGAAGGAUGUCGGGCCGCCAUGCGCAGCUCCCACCCACGCUUCUCCUCGGCUGCACGGGCUCCGCCACUUCUCCGAGAAGGAAGGCGCGGCCGGACCCGCGGCGGGUGUCCCGGGGCAGACGUUGCGCCUGCCUUGAUGUAAGCAGCGCGAAAGGGUCCAACUGCCUGGCUCUGUGGCGCAAUGGAUAGCGCAUUGGACUUCUAGACAGAUGGAGGCAUUCAAAGGUUGUGGGUUCGAGUCCCACCAGAGUCGCUUUUGUUUUGGGAAGUGAAGAAAAAACCCACCUUAACACCUUUAAAAUUCCCCAUCUCACUCGCGUACUAUGAAAAGGAAGGAAACUCAUUCCAACUCCCUGUGGUGUCUUCUCGUAUGAAGUUGUUGGGAGACCUGUCACCCGAGUCUUCCCAGUCGCCUUCAGGGGGCCCCAGGGUUUCCGGUGACUGGAGGCGGAGAAAUUGGCACGACCUGGUUUUGAGAGCUUUAUCUGUGCCAGCCACUGACCAGGCACCGGGGACACAUGGGAACUCUCUGCCUCCCAGCUGAAACAUUGGAGGAGGGAAGACUGACCCAAUUAGACAGGUGUUGAAGGAAAAAGUUUCGUUGUUACGCCCGAACAGGGACUUGAACCCUGGACCCUCAGAUUAAAAGUCUGAUGCUCUACCGACUGAGCUAUCCGGGCUCACGGGAAGUUCCUCCCUUCGGUGCAUGAAGACCCUGUUGUCGUUUGCGCUGCGAGCUAACAGCACCGCCCAGAAAGAGCUCCCGGAUUCGUCCUUUGCGUGUGACUAAUCCAAUUCCGGCCCACGGACCCCGCGAGGACGGGAGGUGGACCAAACCGAAAUCGAAGGUUUCCUUGGCGGAGAGAGAGCCCGGGAUGUCAGCAUCCCCAUCGAGCCCCGCGCGCCCCGCGCUCCGCGGCCCCGCGCGUGGCAGUUGCUUGGCCGUCAAGCCCCCUGCGGAGCCCGGGCGCGCCAGGGGCUCCCACCCGCGGGGAAAGGUUCUACCUCCAGCAGCUCCCGGAACGUCGUUGGAAACAGGAAAGAAGAGAGAGGGCUAGACUGAUCAAGCAAGCGAGAGUUGUGUAGUACGUGCGGAGAGCGUGGUCUCAGCCAGAUCCAAGGUCAGGGAAGGGACCCUGACUUUAAACUGAGCAGUUUAAAAGCAACGACAUAAAAAAAGGCCAGUCCCUCCGCGCCUACACCCCAAGCUCGUGUGCGUGGAGGAUGCCCCCCAGGGUGGCAGCCUGGGAUUCUUUCAUUUAUGCCCCCCAGGGUGGCAGCCUGGGAUUCUUUCAUUAGAAGACGUGUACUGCUCCCUGGAAAGGAGUUGCCACUGGCAGUGACCUCUAAAACCACUGCCGAAACCCGGGAUCGAACCAGGGACCUUUAGAUCUUCAGUCUAACGCUCUCCCAGCUGAGCUAUUUCAGCAGCUUGUAAAAGCUGUUUUCCGUAUUUCCAUAAUAAAAUAGUAUUUGUUCCGUUGUCACAGAAGAGGUCAGAAUAGAUUCAGCUGGAGUUGUUUGGACUCAAGAAACGUAUGGAACUGAACAGGACGGCCAUGUGUAAAAUGUGACUCUUCAGCGUCACCUCCAGAUGAGGUAUGCGUAGAGUCGCGGCAUCUGUAUGUUAAAAGCAUUGAUUUGCCAAACCUAAGUCGUG
Prionailurus viverrinus (fishing cat) is the source of this 1906-nucleotide long non-coding RNA. RefSeq lists it as uncharacterized. The transcript has 5 exons. The record is from RefSeq and is a predicted model, not a curated record. NCBI's taxonomy places the organism in Eukaryota, Metazoa, Chordata, Mammalia, Carnivora, Felidae.